UUGUUGCGGUUAAAAAGCUCGUAGUUGGAUUUCGGCGGUCAGGGGCCGGUGAUAUAUUUGUAUCUACUGGCCCAUUUGGUCGUAUUUUUGAAAGAGGGUUUGGGGUCCCCUUCACUGGGUGUCCUAGGUCGCUUUCAGGUUUACUUUGAAAAAAUUAGAGUGCUCAAAGCAGGCUUUAACGCUUGAAUAUUCGUGCAUGGAAUAAUAGAAUAGGAAGUUCGUUUCUAUUUUGUUGGUUUUAGGAUAACGACUUAAUGAUUAAUAGGGACAAUCGGGGGAAUUAGUAUUCAAACGACAGAGGUGAAAUUCUUGGACCGUUUGAAGACUAACUACUGCGAAAGCAUUUUCCAAGAGUGUUUUCAUUAAUCAAGAACGAAAGUUAGAGGUUCGAAGGCGAUCAGAUACCGCCCUAGUUCUAACCAUAGACGAUGCCAGCUAGCGAUCUCAGGGUGCGUAAUACUAAGGCCCCUGAGGGAGC
This 478-nucleotide ribosomal RNA is filed under the name uncultured marine eukaryote. RNAcentral describes it as "SSU rRNA". It matches the Rfam family "Eukaryotic small subunit ribosomal RNA", at positions 610 to 1087 of the family's 1831-position model. The record is from RNAcentral.